AUGCAUGUCUAAGUACAGACUCUCGAACAGUGAAACCGUGAAUGGCUCAUUAAAUCAGUUAUGGUUCGUUAGAUCGAAUGCCUUACGCGGAUAACUUUUGGGAAUUCUAGAGCUAAUACGUGCAUACAAGCUCCGACUCGCGAAGGAGCGUAUUUAUUAGACCAAAGCCAACCGGGCGCAAGCUCGUCACGCGAUGACUCCGAGUAACUCUUGCUGAUCGCAGCGGCCUCGAGCCGGCGACGUAUCUUUCAAAUGUCUGCCCUAUCAACUUUCGAUGGUAGUUGACAUGACUACCACGGUCGUAACGGGUAACGGGGAAUCAGGGUUCGAUUCCGGAGAGGGAGCCUGAGAAACGGCUGCUACACCUACGGGGGGCAGCAGGCGCGCAAAUUACCCACUCCCGGCACGGGGAGGUAGUGACGAAAAAUAACGGCUCCGGACUCACUGAGUUCGGCGACCGCAAUGAGAACAGUGUAAAUACUUUAUCGAGUAUCAAAUAGAGGGCAAGUCUGGUGCCAGCAGCCGCGGUAAUUCCAGCUCUAUUAGCGUAUAUUAAAGUUGUUGCGUUUAAAAAGCUCGUAGUUGGAUUUCAGACUGGCUUUCGACGACGUUCAGCUUAGCUGUGUCGUCGAGCCAAUUUAACGGCCGCGCUCGGCCGCGAUGCCUUUCAUCGGGUGUCACGGCCGGCCGGCGAAUUUACUUUGAAGAAAAUAGAGUGCUCAAAGCAGGCGUUCGCCCGAAUGGUGUUGCAUGGAAUAAUGGAACAGGACGUCGAUCCGUUUUGUUGGUUCUUCUCACGGUUACGACGUAAUGAUUAAGAGGAACGGACGGGGGCAUUCGUAUUGCGCCGUUAGAGGUGAAAUUCUUGGAUCGGCGCAGGACGGACUACUGCGAAGGCAUUUGUCAAGAAUGUUUUCAUUAGUCAAGAACGAAAGUCAGAGGAUCGAAGGCGAUCAGAUACCGCCCUAGUUUUGACCGUAAACGAUGCCAACUGGCGAUCUGCCGUGCCGUCUUGUCUGACGCGGCGGGCAGCCACCGGGAAACCUUAAGUUUUUAGGUUCCGGGGAUAGUAUGGUUGCAAAACUGAAACUUAAAGGAAUUGACGGAAGGGCACCACCAGGAGUGGAGCCUGCGGCUUAAUUUGACUCAACACGGGAAAGCUUACCCGGGCCGGACACCGUAAGGAUUGACAGACCGAUAGCUCUUUCUCGAUUCGGUGUAUGGUGGUGCAUUGCCGUUCUUAGUCGGUGGAGCGAUUUGUCUGGUUAAUUCCGAUAACGGACGAGACUCUAGCCUGCUAAAUAGACGUCGCAUGCGCCUUGCGCGGGUGCGUCGGCUUCUUAGAGGGACAGGUGGAUUAUCACGAAGCUACCACGAAAGUGAGCAAUAACAGGUCUGUGAUGCCCUUCGAUGUCCGGGGCCGCACGCGCGCUACAAUGAAGCGGGCAACGUGUUUCGCUCGCCCGAGAGGGCCGGUUAAUCCGUUGAAUCCGUUUCGUACUGGGAACUGGGCUUUGUAAUUAUCGCCCACGAACGAGGAAUUCCUAGUAUGUGCGGGUCAUAAGCCCGCGCAGACUACGUCCCUGCCCUUUGUACACACCGCCCGUCGCUACUACCGAUUGGAUGGCUUGGUGAGGUACUUGGAUUGACGCCGUUUGUCGGCUUCGCCCGCGAACGGUGUC
Molecule: ribosomal RNA, 1682 nt
Filed under: Heteroxenotrichula squamosa
Lineage: Eukaryota; Metazoa; Gastrotricha; Chaetonotida; Xenotrichulidae
Description: SSU rRNA
Rfam family: Eukaryotic small subunit ribosomal RNA
Source: RNAcentral